GCCGUAGGGCGCGAGCGUUGUCCGGAUUUAUUGGGCGUAAAGAGCUCGUAGGCGGCUUGUUGCGUCGACUGUGAAAACCCGCGGCUUAACCGCGGGCUUGCAGUUGAUACGGGCAGGCUAGAGUUCGGUAGGGGAGACUGGAAUUCCUGGUGUAGCGGUGAAAUGCGCAGAUAUCAUGAGGAACACCGGUGGCGAAGGCGGGUCUCUGGGCCGAUACUGACGCUGAGGAGCGAAAGCGUGGGGAGCGAACAGG
Molecule: ribosomal RNA, 253 nt
Filed under: uncultured bacterium
Lineage: Bacteria
Description: partial 16S ribosomal RNA
Rfam family: Bacterial small subunit ribosomal RNA
Source: RNAcentral